This 481-nucleotide ribosomal RNA is filed under the name uncultured bacterium. RNAcentral describes it as "bacterial SSU rRNA". It matches the Rfam family "Bacterial small subunit ribosomal RNA", at positions 32 to 524 of the family's 1533-position model. The record is from RNAcentral.
AAUCAACGCUGGCGGCGUGCCUCAGACAUGCAAGUCGAACGAUUAAAGCUCUCUUCGGAGAGUGCAUAGAGUGGCGCACGGGUGAGUAACACGUAAGUAAUCUACCCUCGAGUGGGGAAUAACGUCCGGAAACGGACGCUAAUACCGCAUAAUGCAGCGGCACCGCAAGGUGACAGUUGUUAAAGAUUUAUCGCUUGAGGAGGAGCUUGCGGCAGAUUAGCUAGUUGGUAAGGUAAUGGCUUACCAAGGCUACGAUCUGUAACCGGUCUUAGAGGACGGUCGGUCACACUGACACUGAAUAACGGGUCAGACUCCUACGGGAGGCAGCAGUCGGGAAUUUUGGGCAAUGGGCGAAAGCCUGACCCAGCAACGCCGCGUGAAGGAUGAAGUAUUCGGUAUGUAAACUUCGAAAGAAUAGGAAGAAUAAAUGACGGUACUAUUUAUAAGGUCCGGCUAACUACGUGCCAGCAGCCGCCGUAAG